Molecule: ribosomal RNA, 253 nt
Filed under: uncultured bacterium
Lineage: Bacteria
Description: partial 16S ribosomal RNA
Rfam family: Bacterial small subunit ribosomal RNA
Source: RNAcentral
UACGGAGGGUGCGAGCGUUAUCCGGAAUCAUUGGGCUUAAAGUGUCCGUAGGCGGUUUAGUAAGUCAGUGGUGAAAGCCCAUCGCUCAACGGUGGAACGGCCAUUGAUACUGCUGAACUUGAAUUACUAGGAAGUAACUAGAAUAUGUAGUGUAGCGGUGAAAUGCGUAGAGAUUACAUGGAAUACCAAUUGCGAAGGCAGGUUACUACUAGUGGAUUGACGCUGAUGGACGAAAGCGUGGGUAGCGAACAGG